Molecule: ribosomal RNA, 753 nt
Filed under: uncultured Arcobacter sp.
Lineage: Bacteria; Pseudomonadati; Campylobacterota; Epsilonproteobacteria; Campylobacterales; Arcobacteraceae
Description: bacterial SSU rRNA
Rfam family: Bacterial small subunit ribosomal RNA
Source: RNAcentral
GGCGGACGGGUGAGUAAUAUAUAGGUAAUGUGCCUUGAAGAAGGGGAUAACAGUUGGAAACGACUGCUAAGACCCUAUAUGCCUUUAAAACAAAAGUUUGCAAGGGAAAUAUUUAUAGCUUCAAGAUCGGCCUGUACAGUAUCAGUUAGUUGGUGAGGUAAUGGCUCACCAAGACAAUGACGCUUAACUGGUUUGAGAGGAUGAUCAGUCACACUGGAACUGAGACACGGUCCAGACUCCUACGGGAGGCAGCAGUGGGGAAUAUUGCACAAUGGGGGAAACCCUGAUGCAGCAACGCCGCGUGGAGGAUGACACAUUUCGGUGCGUAAACUCCUUUUAUAUAGGAAGAUAAUGACGGUACUAUAUGAAUAAGCGCCGGCUAACUCCGUGCCAGCAGCCGCGGUAAUACGGAGGGCGCAAGCGUUACUCGGAAUCACUGGGCGUAAAGAGCGUGUAGGCGGAUAGAUAAGUUGGGAGUGAAAUCCUAUGGCUCAACCAUAGAACUGCUUCCAAAACUGUCUAUCUAGAGUAUGGGAGAGGUAGAUGGAAUUUCUGGUGUAGGGGUAAAAUCCGUAGAGAUCAGAAGGAAUACCGAUUGCGAAGGCGAUCUACUGGAACAUUACUGACGCUGAGACGCGAAAGCGUGGGGAGCAAACAGGAUUAGAUACCCUGGUAGUCCACGCCCUAAACGAUGUACACUAGUUGUUGUGAGGCUAGACCUUGCAGUAAUGCAGUUAACACAUUAAGUGUACC